Molecule: ribosomal RNA, 468 nt
Filed under: Triticum aestivum (bread wheat)
Lineage: Eukaryota; Viridiplantae; Streptophyta; Magnoliopsida; Poales; Poaceae
Description: partial small subunit ribosomal RNA
Source: RNAcentral
AUGAACAGGCAUAGCGCAGCACCUCAACACGCUUCUUCUUCAACCGAUGGCAGUACAGAGAGAUCCGGCAAGCACGGAUUACAAGCGGAUUACAUGGAGGGGAUCGAUCGACCGAGCAAGAGAAGAGUACGCAGACAGGCAGGAGCUAGGCUACUGGUAGUACAUGGUGUAUCGAUCUAUCUAGCCGGCGUAGAUGUGGAUGUGGAGGGCGAGGGUGAGGAUGGUGAAGGCGGCGAAGAAGAGCAGGGUGUGGACGAAGAUGGCCUUGCCGUUGGUGUGGAGGCCGCCGAAGUCGACGUGGCGGUGCGACCCCGGCAUCUCGAACAGCAGCCCCGGCGACAGCAGCACGAAGAGCACCACCCCCACCACCACCGGCGCCCAGUCCGCCAUCCUCCGCCGCCUGCUCUCCCUCGCUUCUUCUUCUUCUUCUUCUUCUUUGGUCGAUCUGAUCUGAUCUCACGGCUAUGA